This 442-nucleotide ribosomal RNA is filed under the name uncultured bacterium. RNAcentral's name for it is "partial 16S ribosomal RNA". It matches the Rfam family "Bacterial small subunit ribosomal RNA", at positions 338 to 795 of the family's 1533-position model. The record is from RNAcentral.
CCUACGGGUGGCAGCAGUAGGGAAUUUUGCGCAAUGGGGGAAACCCUGACGCAGCAACGCCGCGUGAUCGAUGAAGCCCCUCGGGGUGUAAAGAUCUGUCAGUGGGGACGAAACCUGACGGUACCCACAGAGGAAGCACCGGCCAACCCCGUGCCAGGAGCCGCGGUAAUACGGGGGGGGCAAGCGUUAUCCGGAUAUAUUGGGGUUAAAGGGUGCGUAGGCUGUGAGGUAAGUCAGCGGUGGAAUGCCCCAGGUCAACGGGGUGAAGUGCCAUUGAUACUGCCUUGCUGGAAUGCGGAUGCGGUGGGAGGAAUGUGUGGUGUAGCGGUGAAAUGCAUAGAGAUCACACAGAACACCGAUUGCGAAGGCAUCUCACGAAGCCACGAUUGACGCUGAUGCACGAAAGCGUGGGUAUCAAACAGGAUUAGAUACCCCUGUAGUC